This 2226-nucleotide long non-coding RNA is filed under the name Paramuricea clavata. The record is from RNAcentral. Lineage: Eukaryota; Metazoa; Cnidaria; Anthozoa; Malacalcyonacea; Plexauridae.
CGGAUAUAGACUAUCAUAAAAAAAAAAAAAUAACCAUCGCUCAGGAUGCCACCUAAAAUAAACUUCAAAACGCUCUUAGGGAAGCGAGACAAUGCUAUACAUGCUUUAAAAGAAUUGUUUGAAGAGUUUGAGACGGUGUUUGAAAUUCAGCCACAAUUAAAAAGGCUAGAACAAAUAUUUACAAUACUCGAAACCAAAUACAGAAGUAUCAAGGAGCAGCAAGAAUUCAUCGCAGACAAAUAUGUAGAGGAGGGUGUAGAAGAAACGUUGAAGGAAGCUCACAAAAGAAUAGGUGACGCUGUAAAGGAAGAAUAUUUGAAGAUAUCUAAAAAGUUUGCUGCCUACCAAAAAGAAGUAAGCUCCAAGAAACCUCAAGAAGAGACAGAAACCUUAAAGGCAAUGACAUCCGCAGUUCUAAAAAUGACGGAGACUAUGUCCACGGGAUCAAAACCUAGUAAGAGUGGACUUGAACGUUUGCCAGUUCCAUCAUGGGAUGGCAGCCGUAGAAUGUACCCUACCUGGAGGAAGGAGUUUAAUCACUGGAUGAAAAAGUAUGCACAAGAUGAAGAUGAACAAUUGCAACGUUUCAGGAAGGCGUUGCCAAGCCAUUUGUGGUGGACAGAUCAAGUAAAGACCUGCAAAACCAUCGACCAAGCUUGGAAAAUCUUAGAUAUUGAAUUUUCAGACAAACGAAAGCUAAUGGAUGAACUCUUGGCAGGAAUUUCCAAGCACGACCAGGUCAAAAGGGACUCCAAGUCAUUAAUUCGGUAUGCUACCACAAUAUCGAGCUAUGUGAAUGACAUGGAAGCCAACGAUUGCAUGGUUACAUCUUCUUCAGAGGCACCAUUCUUCAUGUCACAACUGUUGUCCAAGCUCACCCCAAGUGAUAACGCUGAGUUCGGGAGAGAAAUGAAGAGGAACAAGAAGGAAGAAAGUGUACUCGGUCUUGUCGAAUGGCUGUACGAAGAAGCAGCUCUUCGUUCCAGGGGCAAGCUUGAAUAUGAUAACGAGAGUGCAGAACAAAGUCGACGUGUGGGACCCUUCAGAAAAUUAGACACCCGUAACCUAGCUACUGAAAUUCCUGAAGAUGCAACCUGCCCCUUCGAUUGCCCAGAAGAACAUCUUCUUGCUGCCUGUCCAAUUUACAAGAAGCUAACGGUAAACCAACGUUGGGACAUUGUUCAGCAAAAUAAGAGAUGUCGCAAGUGCUUGAGAGCAUCGCACCAUACAAGAGAUUGUAAGAAGCCAGAUGGCACCUCCUGCGACAAGUGCAAAAAGAACCACCACAAGUCUUUGCACAAUGAAAGAAACAGUGUCCCACCUUUGGAUCCAAGUGCAGUACCAUUUUCCGUACAGGAACGAGCUAUCUCUCAGAACCAUAACAUUGAAGGGAUCAAGCAUGGGAUCGGUCUCUGCCCCAUUCAGAAAGUAAAAGUGAAGGAUGCUGAUGGAAAUUUCAUGGAAAUGCUAGCAUUGCUAGACACUGGAUCAAAUACCAGCCUACUCUCAAAGAAAGCGGCUAUGAAACUGGGAUUAACUGGAUCUCAAAUUCACCUCACCAUGAAUCUCGCUGGAGGGGAAAAACGUUCAGAAGAUUCUGAAAUUCUAGAAAUCGCCGUAGUCUCAUGUACCGAGGAAGAUAUCGAGAAAACUGUCCAAGUGUAUACGGUUAAAAAACCAUGUAACAGCGCUAAGACAGUGUCGAAAAACAGCCUAGAAAGUUACCCCCACCUGAAGUCCCUCUCCGAAAAGCUACAUCUUUCCGGUGGUGCUGUAGAUCUCCUCAUCGGGACUGAUCUUGCUGAAGCCUUCGUCGAUGUUCACACAAUCUCUGGUCGAUGUGGGGAACCCAAUGCCAAGAGAAACUGCUUUGGAUGGUACAUUAUUGGCCAACUAGACCCAAAGAUACCGGAUGGUGCAAAAAUACAGUCAGUUGAUGUCAGUCACGCGAGCGUCAUGGAGAAUGUCAAUCAACUUCUUCAACAAGAUCAGAUAGGAAUCAAACCUACACGUUUCUGCACAUGUAGUGAAAGUGAAUUGCGAGAAAGUAAAUUUGUGAAGUCUGUCUCUCAAUCAACGACUCUGGUUGAUGGAAGGAUUCAGGUAAAGAUGCCGUGGAAUGGAAAGGGACCUCCGAAGCAAAGUAACUACGACAUCGCUGUAAAGAGAAUGCAGUCAGCCGAAAGGUCAUUCGAAAAGAAGGGUUGCAUUGAUGUUGUCGACGAA